CACCUAAAAGGAUUGACUUCAAAGUAAGAUUAAGUUCUGGUUUAUUGACUUUGUGUUCUCCUGAUUAUCCUCCUUCGUCUUGUGCACAAAACACAACAAAAGGAGCCUGCGUUUGUGCACAUCAAAAUGGUGAUAUAUCUACAUACCAGUACAAUUUAAUUGGCAACUUUGAUCACCAAGGAGGAAAUUUUACAUGUGACCUCUGUGCAUCACCUCAAACACCUCUGAGUACAAAGAGCAGUGGCAACUGUACAUCUAUUAUCUUUGAAACAACCACUGCAGCAGCUACGACUACAACAACAGCAGAAACAACAACAGUCACCAAAUCAACAACAUCAGAAGGUAUUAUAUUCAACUUAGCACAUUUAUUAUCAGAUGGGACAAGCUUUUAUUUUUGGACAUGCAAUCAGUAAGGUGCAUUUCAGCUUAUUAGUAUACCUGUAUGAUGGCAUGUAUGUAUGUCUUUAUUUCAAUCUGCAGAGCUUUCCUAAAACUGCCUUUGUGUUAAAAACUGUCUAAUCAAGACAAUUCUCAACUUUUGUUUUUUUGGUCACUAAUGGGUCUUUGGUUUAUUAACCUGAGCAGAUAACAUGUUCUGCAUAAUAAUUAAUUCUAAUAUAUUAAUUAACUUAUAAUAAAUUAAUAGUGCUUCCCAAUCAAGGCUUGUCCCACUCCUCUGCUGGCUCUUUCCCAUUUUG
This is a long non-coding RNA of Pomacea canaliculata, 698 nucleotides long. RefSeq lists it as uncharacterized. The record is from RefSeq and is a predicted model, not a curated record. The transcript is spliced from 3 exons. NCBI's taxonomy places the organism in Eukaryota, Metazoa, Mollusca, Gastropoda, Architaenioglossa, Ampullariidae.